GAAAAAAAAUCUAUGAAUUGAAUAAGGCACAAUGAACCUUUGUAAUGUUUAACGCUACUUUUUUUUCUGAUAAGACAAACAUUUUUGUCUUACUUAUUUUAAAUAAAACACGCAUAAAAAUUGGUCUCCAAGAGCUCUGCAAGAGUAAUACUUCAGCUGCAAGACAGUUGGAAGGACAGUUUUUACAUGGAUCAUUUCAGGAUUCUGGUGGCUUAUCUCAUAGCCCAACAUCUAGCUGGGGGAGGCAAAUCAUGAAGUUGGGAAUAGGAAGGAGGAAAUGUUUUUUCACUGAUGACUUUUCUGUAUCAUUUAAUGAUGACUUAAUGACAUCUCUCUCUACUAUCUUUAGACCAAAAACUCUCUGCUUCAAAACAAGUGGCCCUUUCACAAGAAGGCCAGCUGGGUUAACCUCGAGGGCAAGUCUGAGCCUGGGCUCUACUUUCAUUAACCUUCCUGCAGACAGGAUGCAGGCUGUACCACAAGUGGUACGUGCUUUCUCAGAGCGCUCCCCACGCAUCCACAAGCUUUGUCUGAUGUUCAGAGACCUAAGCAACUUUACUGGAUCAAUAAGAAGCACUGAUCCAUUCAGGAAGCCUUUCCUGGACUUCUCCCUUGUGGCAGCUCCAGAGCUUUAACACUCCAGGUGGAGUGGAUCUGGCUCCAGGUAGAGUCUGUCAGUAUUUUCAUCAGAGUAUAUAUCUUUCAUAAACAUGAAAAAGGCAGGUUUAGAAGUACUCAAGAACUCUUAGAAUCAGAUUUCAUUUUAUCACGUUCUUUGCCUAAACCAAUAAAACAAACUUCCCUUAAACUCCUGAUAAUACAUUGGGAAACACUUUUAUUUCUCUGUUGCAAUGCUCUACAAGAAAUUGUAUUAUUUUCUGCUUUUUAAAUACUAUAUGUGUGCCAUUUCCCUUGAAAUAUGUUAAAAAAAAAAAAAAGUAAAGAUGUUUAAAAUGACAGUGAAAUUUCUGUUUCAGGUUAUGUUAAAUAUUUUGUACAGUUCAAGUGUUCAAAAAUGUUUGAUUGGCUGAAUAUUUUUCUUUUUGUCAGAUCAUCCUGUGAUCAUUCCUGUCAGAUCAUUCCUGUGACUGGAAGCAUUAGCAUUCACUUAGCUUUAGUCACUGACUCUUUAAUUUAAAUCUCUACCUGGAAAAAAUUGUUUUCAGCAUAGAGUAACCCCUGGACUCUUCCCACAGUGCCCCUACAUCUCUGACCUGCUAACAAAACUUUGCCAAAUACACCCAUUGCAAUGGGUUUCCCAAAUCAUCCUUUCCUGUUCCUUUAUUUAUUCCAGACUGUCAGGACACUGAACUGAAGACUGGUAGAGCUUGUAAUGAUGUCAGCAACAUAUAGAGAGAGAGAAGAGGGGAGAGAGACAUUCAUCUUAUAUGGCUAAAACUUAAAAGGCAUCUCUCCAGGUCUAAGAAAGUUAUAAGAUGCCCAAAUCAGCUCAUACUGAAAAAUGCUUGCUUACUACUGCCAGU
Molecule: long non-coding RNA, 1484 nt
Filed under: Gallus gallus (chicken)
Lineage: Eukaryota; Metazoa; Chordata; Aves; Galliformes; Phasianidae
Description: lncRNA (ENSGALG00010002924.1)
Source: RNAcentral